GACGAACCGUCCAAACGUUAUUCGGAAUCACUGGGCUUAAAGGGUGCGUAGGCGGCGCGGAAAGUUGGGUGUGAAAUCCCUCGGCUCAACCGAGGAAUUGCGCCCAAAACUACCGUGCUCGAGGGAGAUAGAGGUGAGCGGAACUUAGGGUGGAGCGGUGAAAUGCGUUGAUAUCCUAAGGAACACCGGUGGCGAAAGCGGCUCACUGGAUCUCUUCUGACGCUGAGGCACGAAAGCUAGGGUAGCAAACGGG
RNAcentral lists this ribosomal RNA (253 nucleotides) under uncultured bacterium. RNAcentral describes it as "partial 16S ribosomal RNA". It matches the Rfam family "Bacterial small subunit ribosomal RNA", at positions 524 to 776 of the family's 1533-position model. The record is from RNAcentral.